UACGUAGGGGGCUAGCGUUGUCCGGAAUCAUUGGGCGUAAAGCGCGCGUAGGCGGCCAGAUAAGUCCGGUGUGAAAGCCACAGGCUCAACCUGUGAAUGCCGCUGGAAACUGUCUGGCUAGAGUCCGGGAGGGGCGAGUGGAAUUCCUGGUGUAGCGGUGAAAUGCGCAGAUAUCAGGAGGAACACCAAUGGCGAAGGCAGCUCGCUGGAACGGUACUGACGCUGAGACGCGAAAGCGUGGGGAGCGAACAGG
This 253-nucleotide ribosomal RNA is filed under the name uncultured bacterium. RNAcentral's name for it is "partial 16S ribosomal RNA". It matches the Rfam family "Bacterial small subunit ribosomal RNA", at positions 524 to 776 of the family's 1533-position model. The record is from RNAcentral.